GUCGAACGAUGAACCAGAAGCUUGCUUUUGGGGAUUAGUGGCGAACGGGUGAGUAACACGUGAGCAACCUGCCCCUCACUCUGGGAUAAGCGCUGGAAACGGUGUCUAAUACUGGAUACGAGGCACAACCGCAUGGUUAGUGUCUGGAAAGAUUUUUUGGUGGGGGAUGGGCUCGCGGCCUAUCAGCUUGUUGGUGAGGUAAUGGCUCACCAAGGCGUCGACGGGUAGCCGGCCUGAGAGGGUGACCGGCCACACUGGGACUGAGACACGGCCCAGACUCCUACGGGAGGCAGCAGUGGGGAAUAUUGCACAAUGGGCGGAAGCCUGAUGCAGCAACGCCGCGUGAGGGAUGACGGCCUUCGGGUUGUAAACCUCUUUUAGCAGGGAAGAAGCGUGAGUGACGGUACCUGCAGAAAAAGCACCGGCUAACUACGUGCCAGCAGCCGCGGUAAUACGUAGGGUGCAAGCGUUAUCCGGAAUUAUUGGGCGUAAAGAGCUCGUAGGCGGUUUGUCGCGUCUGCUGUGAAAUCCCGAGGCUCAACCUCGGGCCUGCAGUGGGUACGGGCAGACUAGAGUGCGGUAGGGGAGAUUGGAAUUCCUGGUGUAGCGGUGGAAUGCGCAGAUAUCAGGAGGAACACCGAUGGCGAAGGCAGAUCUCUGGGCCGUAACUGACGCUGAGGAGCGAAAGGGUGGGGAGCAAACAGGCUUAGAUACCCUGGUAGUCCACCCCGUAAACGUUGGGAACUAGUUGUGGGGUCCUUUCCACGGAUUCCGUGACGCAGCUAACGCAUUAAGUUCCCCGCCUGGGGAGUACGGCCGCAAGGCUAAAACUCAAAGGAAUUGACGGGGACCCGCACAAGCGGCGGAGCAUGCGGAUUAAUUCGAUGCAACGCGAAGAACCUUACCAAGGCUUGACAUACACAAGAACACCCUAAAAAUAAGGGACUCUUUGGACACUGGUGANAGGUGGUGCAUGG
Molecule: ribosomal RNA, 977 nt
Filed under: Microbacterium sp.
Lineage: Bacteria; Bacillati; Actinomycetota; Actinomycetes; Micrococcales; Microbacteriaceae
Description: bacterial SSU rRNA
Rfam family: Bacterial small subunit ribosomal RNA
Source: RNAcentral